This 1551-nucleotide ribosomal RNA is filed under the name Phronimella elongata. RNAcentral describes it as "bacterial SSU rRNA". It matches the Rfam family "Eukaryotic small subunit ribosomal RNA", at positions 607 to 1780 of the family's 1831-position model. Lineage: Eukaryota; Metazoa; Arthropoda; Malacostraca; Amphipoda; Phronimidae. The record is from RNAcentral.
AUGUUGCUGCGGUUAAAGGCUCGCAUUUGAAUGUCAGUUAAUAUACGCGUAGUAGGUGCCGGGACGUUGCGAGCUUCUUUCGUCAGAUCGUAGCGAGCCGUCUCUCCAAGUGCAUCUCUCGCGGGCUAACGAUUCGAUUAACGGGGUCGGCGAUCGGGACCCGCAAGGGAUUCGGUCUCCAAUACCCUGUUAGUUGACACCUUGAGUAAAUCAGAGUGCUUAAAGCAGUCGUUGAAACACUACGGCUGCGGCUUACCCUUGCGGGCUUAGUCGUGUGUCUGGUGACGGUGCGAGCCGUUUGGACAUUGUCUUUGCUUUGCAUGGUACGUCGAAAGACGCCGUGUGAGUUGGUUGCGCUUAUGGUGUCUGGUGUCGUAUGGGUAAAGUAUGCGCGGGCGCCAACAAGCACGGAAUGAUCUGAAAGGGAUGGCUCGAAGGCAUUGGUAUUGCGGGGCUAGAGGUGAAAUUCUAUGACCCCCGCAAGACUACCCGAAGCGAAAGCGUCUGCCUAGGACGUCUUCAUUAAUCAUGAACGAAAGUUGCAGGAUCGAAGGCGAUCAGAUACCGCCCUAGUUGUAACUGUAAACGAUACCAACCAUCAAUCCGUCAUAGCGUUCUCUUUUGCUUAGGGAGGCGAACUUGUUCUCUUCCUAAGCUGAGUGUAAGCGCUCGAUGGGCAGCUCUAUUCGGACGGAAAACCAGAGUUUUUCGGUUCCGGGGGGAGUCUGGUUGCAAAGCUGAAACUUAAAGGAAUUGACGGAAAGGCACCACCAGGCGUGGAGCUUGCGGCUCAAUUUGACUCAACACGGGAAAACUUACCAGACCCGAACAUCUUUGAUGAUUGACAGAUUGAAAGUUCUUUCUUGAUAAAGUGGAUGGUGGUGCAUGGCCGUUCUUAGUUGGUGGAGUGAUCUGUCUGGUUAAUUCCGAUAACGAACGAGACUUUCCCCUGCUAAUGAACUUUGUGUUCUUUUAGACAGUGCGAUUCGGAACAAGGACCCAAGAGCGUAAGCUCCGGGACCGGACGAUGUCCACUGAUCCUUGGCGCGUCGUUUUUGCGUGCUUGUGCGCGUAGCCUUCUGGUCGCGUGUGCUUGCGUGCGUCUUCGGCAAAGCGUCUUGGAGUACGUUUCUUCUUAGAGGGAUUGACGGCUUUUAAGUCGUAAGAAACAGGAAGCAAUAACAGGUCUGUGAUGCCCUUAGAUGUUCUGGGCUGCACGCGUGUUACAAUGCCGGUCUCACCGGGUUCUUACACUUAUCGUGGCCUACUCCGAAAGGAGCGGGUAAACCUGUGAAAUACCUUUUGCGCUGUUUCACGAUAGUGCUAGCUCGGCAUGCUUGGGACUGGGGAUUGCAAUUAUUCCCCACGAACUAGGAAUGCCUAGUAGUGGCGAAUCACAGAGUUCGCUGCGACUCUGUCCCUGCCCUUUGUACACACCGCCCGUCGCUACUACCGAUUGGGACCUAAGCUAAGCUUUUUGGAUCGGCGAAAGGAGGACCAUUCCAUUGGCACUAGACGCCGAGAAGAGACGCGAAGCUUCUGUUCAGAGAA